CGGUGAAAGUUUGCAGCUUAACUGUAAAAAUGCCGUUGAAACUGUUAGACUUGAGUGUAAAUGAGGUAGGCGGAAUGCGUGGUGUAGCGGUGAAAUGCUUAGAUAUCACGCAGAACUCCGAUUGCGAAGGCAGCUUACCAAGCUACAACUGACACUGAAGCACGAAAGCGUGGGGAUCAAACAGGAUUAGAUACCCUGGUAGUCCACGCAGUAAACGAUGAUUACUAGCUGUUUGCGAUACACAGUAAGCGGCACAGCGAAAGCGUUAAGUAAUCCACCUGGGGAGUACGCCGGCAACGGUGAAACUCAAAGGAAUUGACGGGGGCCCGCACAAGCGGAGGAACAUGUGGUUUAAUUCGAUGAUACGCGAGGAACCUUACCCGGGUUUGAACGCAGAGAGACAGGAGUGGAAACAUUCUUUUCAGCAAUGACUGUCUGCGAGGUGCUGCAUGGUUGUCGUCAGCUCGUGCCGUGAGGUGUCGGCUUAAGUGCCAUAACGAGCGCAACCCUUAU
Molecule: ribosomal RNA, 513 nt
Filed under: uncultured Bacteroidota bacterium
Lineage: Bacteria; Pseudomonadati; Bacteroidota
Description: bacterial SSU rRNA
Rfam family: Bacterial small subunit ribosomal RNA
Source: RNAcentral